This 1496-nucleotide ribosomal RNA is filed under the name metagenome. RNAcentral's name for it is "bacterial SSU rRNA". It matches the Rfam family "Bacterial small subunit ribosomal RNA". The record is from RNAcentral.
AGAGUUUGAUCAUGGCUCAGGACGAACGCUGGCGGCGUGCUUAACACAUGCAAGUCGAACGAGAGGACAAGAGAAGCUUGCUUCUUUUGGAAUCGAGUGGCAAACGGGUGAGUAACACGUAAACAACCUGCCUUCAGGAUGGGGACAACAGACGGAAACGACUGCUAAUACCGAAUACGCUUGGAAGACCGCAUGAUCUUCCAAGGAAAGGGUGGCCUCUACCUGUAAGCUAUCGCCUGAAGAGGGGUUUGCGUCUGAUUAGGCAGUUGGUGAGGUAACGGCCCACCAAACCUACGAUCAGUAGCCGGUCUGAGAGGAUGAACGGCCACACUGGAACUGAGACACGGUCCAGACUCCUACGGGAGGCAGCAGUGGGGAAUCUUCCGCAAUGGGCGAAAGCCUGACGGAGCAACGCCGCGUGAGUGAUGACGGCCUUCGGGUUGUAAAGCUCUGUGAUCGGGGACGAACGGUCCGUAAGUCAAUACCUUAUGGAAGUGACGGUACCCGAAUAGGAAGUGACGGCUAACUACGUGCCAGCAGCCGCGGUAAAACGUAGGUCACAAGCGUUGUCCGGAAUUACUGGGUGUAAAGGGAGCGCAGGCGGGAAGACAAGUUGGAAGUGAAAUCCAUGGGCUCAACCCAUGAACUGCUUUCAAAACUGUUUUUCUUGAGUAGUGCAGAGGUAGGCGGAAUUCCCGGUGUAGCGGUGGAAUGCGUAGAUAUCGGGAGGAACACCAGUGGCGAAGGCGGCCUACUGGGCACCAACUGACGCUGAGGCUCGAAAGUGUGGGUAGCAAACAGGAUUAGAUACCCUGGUAGUCCACACUGUAAACGAUGAUUACUAGGUGUUGGAGGAUUGACCCCUUCAGUGCCGCAGUUAACACAAUAAGUAAUCCACCUGGGGAGUACGACCGCAAGGUUGAAACUCAAAGGAAUUGACGGGGGCCCGCACAAGCAGUGGAGUAUGUGGUUUAAUUCGACGCAACGCGAAGAACCUUACCAAGUCUUGACAUCCCUUGACGAUGCUGGAAACAGUAUUUCUCUUCGGAGCAAGGAGACAGGUGGUGCAUGGUUGUCGUCAGCUCGUGUCGUGAGAUGUUGGGUUAAGUCCCGCAACGAGCGCAACCCUUAUGGUCAGUUACUACGCAAGAGGACUCUGGCCAGACUGCCGUUGACAAAACGGAGGAAGGUGGGGAUGACGUCAAAUCAUCAUGCCCUUUAUGACUUGGGCUACACACGUACUACAAUGGCGUUAAACAAAGAGAAGCAAGACCGCGAGGUGGAGCAAAACUCAGAAACAACGUCCCAGUUCGGACUGCAGGCUGCAACUCGCCUGCACGAAGUCGGAAUUGCUAGUAAUCGCAGAUCAGCAUGCUGCGGUGAAUACGUUCCCGGGCCUUGUACACACCGCCCGUCACACCAUGAGAGCCGGGGGGACCCGAAGUCGGUAGUCUAACCGCAAGGAGGACGCCGCCGAAGGUAAAACUGGUGAUUGG